This 18-nucleotide small nuclear RNA is filed under the name Arabidopsis thaliana (thale cress). Its description in RNAcentral is "snRNA_00954". Lineage: Eukaryota; Viridiplantae; Streptophyta; Magnoliopsida; Brassicales; Brassicaceae. The record is from RNAcentral.
UGCCCGCGUCGCGAUAGU